This 239-nucleotide ribosomal RNA is filed under the name uncultured bacterium. RNAcentral describes it as "partial 16S ribosomal RNA". It matches the Rfam family "Bacterial small subunit ribosomal RNA", at positions 118 to 351 of the family's 1533-position model. The record is from RNAcentral.
UGAGGAACAUGACUUUCGGUGGGGGAGUAGCCGGCCCAACGGCCGGGUAAUACCGCGUACGACCUUUUGGGGACAUCCCCGAUUGGUGAAAGCAGCAAUGCGCCGAAAGAGUGCCUCGCGGCCUAUCAGCUAGUUGGUGGGGUAACGGCUCACCAAGGCAACGACGGGUAGCUGGUCUGAGAGGAUGGCCAGCCACAGUUGGGACUGAGACACGGUCCAGACCUCCGUACGGGGAGCAG